UACGUAGGGGGCAAGCGUUGUCCGGAUUUAUUGGGCGUAAAGAGCGUGUAGGCGGCCUGAAAGGUCAGCUGUGAAAACUCGAGGCUCAACCUCGAGACGUCGGUUGAAACCAUCUGGCUAGAGUCCGGAAGAGGAGAGUGGAAUUCCCGGUGUAGCGGUGAAAUGCGCAGAUAUCGGGAAGAACACCCGUGGCGAAGGCGGCUCUCUGGGACGGUACUGACGCUGAGACGCGAAAGCGUGGGGAGCGAGCAGG
RNAcentral lists this ribosomal RNA (253 nucleotides) under uncultured bacterium. RNAcentral's name for it is "partial 16S ribosomal RNA". It matches the Rfam family "Bacterial small subunit ribosomal RNA", at positions 524 to 776 of the family's 1533-position model. The record is from RNAcentral.